Molecule: ribosomal RNA, 78 nt
Filed under: Citrobacter freundii
Lineage: Bacteria; Pseudomonadati; Pseudomonadota; Gammaproteobacteria; Enterobacterales; Enterobacteriaceae
Description: partial 23S ribosomal RNA
Rfam family: Bacterial large subunit ribosomal RNA
Source: RNAcentral
UGACGUUGAUAGGUCGGGUGUGUAAGCGUAGCGAUACGUUGAGCUAACCGAUACUAAUGAACCGUGAGGCUUAACCUU